This 470-nucleotide ribosomal RNA is filed under the name uncultured bacterium. RNAcentral describes it as "partial 16S ribosomal RNA". It matches the Rfam family "Bacterial small subunit ribosomal RNA", at positions 28 to 507 of the family's 1533-position model. The record is from RNAcentral.
GACGAACGCUGGCGGCGUGCUUAACACAUGCAAGUCGAACGAGAUCCAAUGUGUAGCAAUACACAGGAAGAUCUAGUGGCGAACGGGUGAGGAACACGUGAGAAACGUACCCCAGACUUUGGGAUAACAGUCCGAAAGGACUGCUAAUACCAAAUAACGUCGGAAGUCCGCAUGGACAUCUGACGAAAGGGAUUCCGGUUUGGGAGCGUCUCGCGGACCUAUCAGCUAGUUGGAGGGGUAACGGCCCACCAAGGCAACGACGGGUAGCUGGUCUGAGAGGAUGGUCAGCCACACUGGGACUGAGACGCGGCCCAGACUCCUACGGGAGGCAGCAGUGGGGAAUCUUGCGCAAUGGGCGAAAGCCUGACGCAGCAACGCCGGGUGCGGGAAGAAGGCUUUCGGGAUGUAAACCGCUUUCAGUAGGAACGAAACUGACGGUACCUACAGAAGAAGGAGCGGCCAACUAUGUG